Long non-coding RNA from Helianthus annuus (common sunflower), 1548 nucleotides. RefSeq lists it as uncharacterized. NCBI's taxonomy places the organism in Eukaryota, Viridiplantae, Streptophyta, Magnoliopsida, Asterales, Asteraceae. The transcript is spliced from 5 exons. The record is from RefSeq and is a predicted model, not a curated record.
UUCUCUUUCUCCCCAAACGGCCAAACCAGCUCUCUGAUUCAACCACAUCUCUGCCUUUUCAAUUUUCCAAAAACAACUUAGCUAAUUCAAAAUUCAAAUUCGAUUAUUUCCUCUGCACUUUAUUUCCCUUUUCCUUUCAAGCGAGAAACCCUAAAUUCAAAUUCGUUGUUCUGCUUCACCAUCAUUCUAUUCUUCCAAUCAGUGAACUAUAAUCAGCUAUGAAUUCCUUCCCCUUCAUUGUUCUACUUCAUCACCUUUCCCCUCCACGUUUAUGUUUCUUUGGUGAAUCGAUCAAUUGAUCGAUUAAUUGAUAUAUUUUUUUUGAAGUUUAUGAUGAUAAGGGUUGUACGCACUAUGAAUGUGAAAUGGGUUUCAUUAGCAGAAAGGGGAGGUGUAGAUUUCCACUGUCAAUAUGUCUGAAAUCCUUCCCUUCACGAACCCUAAAUCAGGUUGUAUAACCUCAAGGAGCAUUCAGGAUAUGAGAAAUUUUGUCUCCAUCCGAACUUUUAUAUUCAAAAACCCAAAUCGGAUCCAACAUAUGAAGACGCGACUCAUCUUUUGAUGAUACUAUGGAUAUCAAAAUUGUCUUUUUUUAAUGAUAACUUAGCCAAAUAUACCUCGCACAUUCAAAAGCAACUUUAGAUAAGGUACUGAAGGUGCUCCAAGGAUGGAGCUUAGCUUCUUUCUUCUCAUAGGUUCGCUUCUAAUUCUCUUCUGCUCAGAUGUGUCCAAUUAAACAAGUUAGGUUUAACUAAAAUCUUACCUUUCUUGGGUCUUGCCCACUUCUGUUUUUUGUUUGAGAAUCAGUGGAAAACAGGCUCAAUUUGAAAAGAAGACCAGUUAUUUGAUUCCAGGUUGUCUUUAUUUGAAUUAGUUUUACUUUUAUAAUAUAUGUGUUGAAUCAGUUUUACUUUUAUAUAUAUGUGUUGUUAAUGUUAACUUUCACCCUCUUAAGCUUUCACCGUGGAGCUGAUUUGCUUUCUUUGCCAACAAAUGUCGAUCGCCUUGGCGAGGAUGUAACGCAUUACGCAUGUUUACAUUGCAUAACUGUAUCUUGCUCUUGAAUACCUUCGUACUUUAAGAAUUGUCCAUCGAGCUCCAAAACCUGAUAACGUAUUAAUUGCACAUGAUGGGACAUAUAUAGGGCAUCCCCCGCCCCAACCCGAGGUGGAGGAACUGGCGUUGAAUGGCAUCCCCGCCCCAACCAACGGCCCACUCCCCACAGUCUAAAUGACUAAAGUUUGGACCAUUGAAAUAAAUUGGUAAACUCAAUUUUGUGAUGAUAUAAAUAAGUUCUUCCAAGCACAAUCUCAAGUUUUGCAGUUAGGAUGAAUCAUACAUUUAGCUCCACGGUGUCAUUCAUAUCAAAAAAAUUGGCAUUUAGCUCACUAUUCUUCUUCUUUUUUUUUUUUUUUUUUUUUUUUUUUUUGUAGAUUGUGAACGAUGCUACUAAAUAUAAGGUGUAACAUAGAGUCUCAUGUUUCAGUUGUUUUACGGUUACACUUCCAUUUCGCUUUGUGUUUUUAUUACUGCAGCCACUUGAUUUUA